RNAcentral lists this ribosomal RNA (492 nucleotides) under uncultured bacterium. RNAcentral's name for it is "partial 16S ribosomal RNA". It matches the Rfam family "Bacterial small subunit ribosomal RNA", at positions 29 to 507 of the family's 1533-position model. The record is from RNAcentral.
AGUGAACGCUGGCGGUAGGCCUAACACAUGCAAGUCGAACGGCAGCACAGUAAGAGCUUGCUCUUACGGGUGGCGAGUGGCGGACAGGUGAGGAAUACAUCGGAAUCUACUUUUUCGUGGGGGAUAACGUAGGGAAACUUACGCUAAUACCGCAUACGACCUACGGGUGAAAGCAGGGGAUCUUCGGACCUUGCGCGAUUGAAUGAGCCGAUGUCGGAUUAGCUAGUUGGCGGGGUAAAGGCCCACCAAGGCGACGAUCCGUAGCUGGUCUGAGAGGAUGAUCAGCCACACUGGAACUGAGACACGGUCCAGACUCCUACGGGAGGCAGCAGUGGGGAAUAUUGGACAAAGGGCGCAAGCCUGAUCCAGCCAUACCGCGUGGGUGAAGAAGGCCUUCGGGUUGUAAAGCCCUUUUGUUGGGAAAGAAAAGCAGCAGGUUAAUACCCCGCUGUUCUGACGGUACCCAAAGAAUAAGCACCGGCUAACUUCGUG